This 486-nucleotide ribosomal RNA is filed under the name uncultured bacterium. RNAcentral describes it as "bacterial SSU rRNA". It matches the Rfam family "Bacterial small subunit ribosomal RNA", at positions 41 to 524 of the family's 1533-position model. The record is from RNAcentral.
GGCAUGCCUACACAUGCAGUCGCACGGCAGCAGGUCCUUCGGGAUGCUGGCGAGUGGCGGACGGGUGAGUAAUGCGUAGGAACCUAUCCUUUUGUGGGGGACAACCCAGGGAAACUUGGGCUAAUACCGCAUAAGCCCUGAGGGGGAAAGCGGGGGAUCUUCGGACCUCGUGCUGAAGGAGGGGCCUACGUCCGAUUAGCUAGUUGGUGGGGUAAAGGCCUACCAAGGCGACGAUCGGUAGCUGGUCUGAGAGGACGACCAGCCACACUGGGACUGAGACACGGCCCAGACUCCUACGGGAGGCAGCAGUGGGGAAUUUUUCGCAAUGGGGGCAACCCUGACGAAGCAAUGCCGCGUGGAUGAAGAAGGCCUUCGGGUUGUAAAGUCCUUUCGUGGGGGACGAAAAGGCGGAUCCGAAUACGGUCUGCUAUUGACGUGAACCCAAGAAGAAGCACCGGCUAACUCCGUGCCAGCAGCCGCGGUAAU